This 405-nucleotide ribosomal RNA is filed under the name uncultured bacterium. RNAcentral describes it as "bacterial SSU rRNA". It matches the Rfam family "Bacterial small subunit ribosomal RNA", at positions 355 to 776 of the family's 1533-position model. The record is from RNAcentral.
UAGGGAAUAUUGGUUAAUGUGCGAAAGCGCGAACCAGCAACGCCGCGUGCGCGAUGAAGGCCUUCGGGUCGUAAAGCGCUUUUUGGAGGAAUGAGGAAGGACAGUACCUCCAGAAUAAGCCUCGGCUAACUACGUGCCAGCAGCCGCGGUAAAACGUAGGAGGCAAGCGUUAUUCGGAUUUACUGGGCGUAAAGCGUGUGCAGGCGGUUCAGACAGUUGGAUGUGAAAGCUCCCGGCUUAACUGGGAGAGGUCGUUCAAUACUUCUGGACUAGAGGAUGAGAGAGGGAGGUGGAAUUCCGGGUGUAGUGGUGAAAUGCGUAGAUAUCCGGAGGAACACCAGUGGCGAAAGCGGCCUCCUGGCUCAUUUCUGACGCUCAGACACGAAAGCUAGGGUAGCAAACGGG